AGAGAUAUAGUCCAAAGAUGCAUGUGGUAAUGUAAAGCAGAGACACACGUGAAGAUUCAACCAAUAGGUGGAGGCACAGCACGUGGCAUGAAGCUUUAAGAGAAUAAAGUGAUGAACUAACAGACCUUCCCUCUUCACCCCGAGCCUCAUCUUCCUCACAUUAGAGCCUGAAGAUGUUUUCACCCGUGCACACAUUUGGUUCUCUCUUCAUCUGGUUCUCAUGUCAGGUGAGCGCAGUUAUAUUUCAACAAUCUCCUCCCCAGAUCGUGAAGGACAGCACUGAGGUCCAGAUUAACUGCAGUCAUGACGAUACUUCCCUCUCAAUAAUGCUCUGGUAUGAGCACAGAACGGUCCAGGACAGUCUGCCUAUGACACUCAUUGGGUCUGGAUAUGACACCAGCGCCCCAAACUAUGAGGAUGGAGCUAAGAGUGUGACGUUUCAGCCGACUCAUCCAAGAAUAGUCGAUGACAAAGCCAGGGUAGACAUUAAAUGCAGUCAUAACGAUAACAACCUUGUUGUAAUGCUCUGGUACCAGCAAAAAGAAAGCGGUCUGGUGAAUUUAAUUGGAUACAGCUACACUGGCAGUCAACCCAACUAUGAGAAGCAGUUUGAAGAUCGGUUUGCAAUAACAAGACAAGACAUUGUAACAGGAGCUCUGAUUAUUCACAGUGUGAAUCUAUCAGACUCGGCUGUGUAUUUCUGCGCUGCCAGUACACAGUGAUGUGGUUUAAUGUC
Non-coding RNA from Cottoperca gobio, 736 nucleotides. The record is from the annotation of a RefSeq genome assembly. Lineage: Eukaryota; Metazoa; Chordata; Actinopteri; Perciformes; Bovichtidae.